GACGAACGCUGGCGGCGGGCUUAACACAUGCAAGUCGAACGGAAAGGCCCUGCUUUCGUGGGGUGCUCGAGUGGCGAACGGGUGAGUAACACGUGAGUAACCUGCCCUUGACUUUGGGAUAACUUCAGGAAACUGGGGUUAAUACCGGAUAGGAGCCCCUGCUGCAUGGUGGGGGUUGAAAGUUUGGGCGGUUGGGGAUAGACUGACGGCUUAUCGGCUUGUCGGUGGGGUAGUGGCCUACCCAGGCUUUGAAGGGUUGCCGGCCUGGGAGGGUGAACGGGCACAUUGGGACUGAGAGACGGCGCAGACGGCAAUGGGAGGCAGCAGUGGGGAAUCUUGCCCAAUGGGCGGAAGCCUGAGGCAGAGACGCCGCGGGCGGAAUGACGGCCUGCGGGUAGAAAACCGCUUUCGCCUGUGACGAAGCGGUUGUGACGGUAAUGGGUGAAGAAGCACCGGCUAACUACGUG
RNAcentral lists this ribosomal RNA (467 nucleotides) under uncultured bacterium. RNAcentral's name for it is "partial 16S ribosomal RNA". It matches the Rfam family "Bacterial small subunit ribosomal RNA", at positions 28 to 507 of the family's 1533-position model. The record is from RNAcentral.